UACGGAGGGUGCGAGCGUUGUCCGGAAUCACUGGGCGUAAAGGGCGCGUAGGCGGCCGUGUAAGUCACUUGUGAAAUCCCGGGGCUCAACUCCGGGGCUGCAGGUGAGACUGCGUGGCUAGAGCACGGUAGAGGCGAGUGGAAUUCCCGGUGUAGCGGUGAAAUGCGUAGAUAUCUGGAGGAACACCGGUGGCGAAGGCGGCAUCCUGGACCGGUAUUGACGCUGAGGCGCGAAAGCCAGGGGAGCAAACGGG
This 253-nucleotide ribosomal RNA is filed under the name uncultured bacterium. RNAcentral describes it as "partial 16S ribosomal RNA". It matches the Rfam family "Bacterial small subunit ribosomal RNA", at positions 524 to 776 of the family's 1533-position model. The record is from RNAcentral.